This 252-nucleotide ribosomal RNA is filed under the name uncultured bacterium. RNAcentral describes it as "partial 16S ribosomal RNA". It matches the Rfam family "Bacterial small subunit ribosomal RNA", at positions 524 to 776 of the family's 1533-position model. The record is from RNAcentral.
UACGUAGGGUCCGAGCGUUGUCCGGAAUUACUGGGCGUAAAGAGCUCGUAGGUGGUUUGUCGCGUUGUUCGUGAAACUCACAGCUCAACUGUGGGCGUGCGGGCGAUACGGGCAGACUAGAGUACUGCAGGGGAGACUGGAAUUCCUGGUGUAGCGGUGGAAUGCGCAGAUAUCAGGAGGAACACCGGUGGCGAAGGCGGGUCUCUGGGCAGUAACUGACGCUGAGGAGCGAAAGCGUGGGGAGCGAACAGG